UCGCUCCUACCGAUUUCGAGUGAUUCGGUGAACCUUUUGGACCGCGGACAGUCUUGUGCUGUCUGUGGAAAGUCAAGUAAACCAUAUCACUUAGAGGAAGGAG
This 103-nucleotide ribosomal RNA is filed under the name uncultured eukaryote. RNAcentral describes it as "partial small subunit ribosomal RNA". The record is from RNAcentral.